This 791-nucleotide ribosomal RNA is filed under the name Streptomyces sp. RNAcentral's name for it is "bacterial SSU rRNA". It matches the Rfam family "Bacterial small subunit ribosomal RNA", at positions 56 to 862 of the family's 1533-position model. The record is from RNAcentral. Lineage: Bacteria; Bacillati; Actinomycetota; Actinomycetes; Kitasatosporales; Streptomycetaceae.
UGCAAGUCGAACGAUGAACCACUUCGGUGGGGAUUAGUGGCGAACGGGUGAGUAACACGUGGGCAAUCUGCCCUUCACUCUGGGACAAGCCCUGGAAACGGGGUCUAAUACCGGAUAUCACUCCUGCAGGCAUCUGCGGGAGUCGAAAGCUCCGGCGGUGAAGGAUGAGCCCGCGGCCUAUCAGCUUGUUGGUGAGGUAGUGGCUCACCAAGGCGACGACGGGUAGCCGGCCUGAGAGGGCGACCGGCCACACUGGGACUGAGACACGGCCCAGACUCCUACGGGAGGCAGCAGUGGGGAAUAUUGCACAAUGGGCGAAAGCCUGAUGCAGCGACGCCGCGUGAGGGAUGACGGCCUUCGGGUUGUAAACCUCUUUCAGCAGGGAAGAAGCGAAAGUGACGGUACCUGCAGAAGAAGCGCCGGCUAACUACGUGCCAGCAGCCGCGGUAAUACGUAGGGCGCAAGCGUUGUCCGGAAUUAUUGGGCGUAAAGAGCUCGUAGGCGGCUUGUCACGUCGGGUGUGAAAGCCCGGGGCUUAACCCCGGGUCUGCAUUCGAUACGGGCUAGCUAGAGUGUGGUAGGGGAGAUCGGAAUUCCUGGUGUAGCGGUGAAAUGCGCAGAUAUCAGGAGGAACACCGGUGGCGAAGGCGGAUCUCUGGGCCAUUACUGACGCUGAGGAGCGAAAGCGUGGGGAGCGAACAGGAUUAGAUACCCUGGUAGUCCACGCCGUAAACGGUGGGAACUAGGUGUUGGCGACAUUCCACGUCGUCGGUGCCGCAGCUAACGCAUUA